GUAGGUGGCAAGCGUUGUCCGGAAUUAUUGGGCGUAAAGCGCGCGCAGGCGGUUCUUUAAGUCUGAUGUGAAAGCCCACGGGCUCAACCGUGGAGGGUCAUUGGAAACUGGAGAACUUGAGUACAGAAGAGGAAAGCGGAAUUCCACGUGUAGCGGUGAAAUGCGUAGAGAUGUGGAGGAACACCAGUGGCGAAGGCGGCUUUCUGGUCUGUAACUGACGCUGAGGCGCGAAAGCGUGGGGAGCAAACAGGAUUUGAUACCCUGGUAGUCCACGCCGUAAACGAUGAGUGCUAAGUGUUAGGGGGGUUUCCGCCCCUUAGUGCUGCAGCUAACGCAUUAAGCACUCCGCCUGGGGAGUACGGCCGCAAGGCUG
RNAcentral lists this ribosomal RNA (373 nucleotides) under uncultured organism. RNAcentral's name for it is "partial 16S ribosomal RNA". It matches the Rfam family "Bacterial small subunit ribosomal RNA", at positions 527 to 896 of the family's 1533-position model. The record is from RNAcentral.